CUACGGGUUGCUCCAGUGGGGAAUCUUGGACAAUGGGCGCAAGCCUGAUCCAGCCAUGCCGCGUGAGUGAUGAAGGCCUUAGGGUCGUAAAGCGCUUUCGCCAGAGAUGAUAAUGACAGUAUCUGGUAAAGAAACCCCGGCUAACUCCGUGCCAGCAGCGCGCGGUAAUACGGAGGGGGCUAGCGUUGUUCGGAAUUACUGGGCGUAAAGCGCGCGUAGGCGGACUAGUCAGUCAGGGGUGAACUCCCGGGGCUCAACCCCGGACCUGCCUUUGAUACUGCUAGUCUAGAGUUCGAGAGAGGUGAGUGGAAUUCGGAGUGUAGAGGUGAAAUUCGUAGAUAUUCGGAGGAACACCAGUGGCGAAGGCGGCUCACUGGCUCGAUACUGACGCUGAGGUGCGAAAGUGUGGGGAGCAAACAGGAUUAGAUACCCCCGUAGUC
This 440-nucleotide ribosomal RNA is filed under the name uncultured bacterium. RNAcentral describes it as "partial 16S ribosomal RNA". It matches the Rfam family "Bacterial small subunit ribosomal RNA", at positions 339 to 795 of the family's 1533-position model. The record is from RNAcentral.